This 428-nucleotide ribosomal RNA is filed under the name uncultured bacterium. Its description in RNAcentral is "partial 16S ribosomal RNA". It matches the Rfam family "Bacterial small subunit ribosomal RNA", at positions 354 to 796 of the family's 1533-position model. The record is from RNAcentral.
GUGGGGAAUAUUGGGCAAUGGGCGCAAGCCUGACCCAGCAACGCCGCGUGAAGGAAGAAGGCUUUCGGGUUGUAAACUUCUUUUACCAGGGACGAAACAAAUGACGGUACCUGGUGAAUAAGCCACGGCUAACUACGUGCCAGCAGCCGCGGUAAUACGUAGGUGGCGAGCGUUAUCCGGAUUUAUUGGGUGUAAAGGGCGUGUAGGCGGGACAGCAAGUCAGAUGUGAAAACCAGAGGCUCAACCUCUGGCCUGCAUUUGAAACUGUUGUUCUUGAGUGUCGGAGAGGUAAUCGGAAUUCCGUGUGUAGCGGUGAAAUGCGUAGAUAUACGGAGGAACACCAGUGGCGAAGGCGGCCUGCUGGACAUUAACUGACGCUGAGGCGCGAAAGCGUGGGGAGCAAACAGGAUUAGAUACCCGUGUAGUCC